GGGAAUUUGCUUGGUUCUUAUAUUUUGCUUGAUUUAAAUGCUGAAGCCACAGCAUAUUUUUUUCACUCCUUGCUUGCCUUGCCUUAAUUUGCACUCAUGUAUUCCUCCAAAAGCAGUGCCAAUGGAGAAAAAGGAGUCCAUCAGUGCAAUUACAGAUUAAGUAUAAAUCUUUCCCUCAUCUCCACAUCUCGUCUGUUCCUUGUUCACAUGAUACAGUGCUUGCCUACCUGCAGAGUAGUGGGUAGGUGGUAGUAGCCCACUGGCUUUCUGGACUAUACUGUAUUCUCUUUCCCUGAUCCCUGCAAUUGACUCUUGCUGUCCAUUAAAUCUGUAAACAACUCAUUUCUGGUCAAUGGUUUGUGCCACUAUUUAUAUUUUGCUUAGCUUCCCAGUCCAGCACUCAUACACAAGCCUCCGAGUGGAAUCACUUUCUUUUACAAAUGCACCUACUUGUUUUCCUUUAGCCUCUGUAGCUGAACAUCCUGCCUAAUGGUAAAUGCUCUUCCAGGUGGCAUCAUGGCCAGUGUUGAGCAGAUGAGUUAUUAGCUUGCCUGCAUAGAUGAGAUGCUCUUUCUCUGGUCUGACAUUACACUAACUGCAGCCUUGUAUUGUAUUUUGUUAUCUGCUGCUUCAAAAUGAAAGUCCCAGUGUAGGAUCAGUUACAUGGGAAAGCUUGAGAAGGAAAGGGAGAGGAAGUUAUUUCUUACAUUCUAUGAAUAUAAUUCACUCCUUUUAGCUUCCUCUGUCACCUCUGCUGCUGCUUGCAGCAGGAAUAGCCACAGAAGCUAGUUUGGGGAGUCAGUGCCUUUCAUUCUUAUUAAGGUAUUAAAACAAUAAUGAAGCUGUCUAGUGAAAACUCAGAGCUGAAUAAAUGAUUUAUGAAGUGUUUGGCAUUACAACUUGUGCUGCCUGGGAUGACUGUGUCUUUCCAAAAGCCACCGAGGAAUAUCCUUGCUUCAAUUUUGACCCUCUAGACACAAUCCUGGCAAAACCCCAGGCCAUUCCAGGGUCUUUAUCAGCAAUGUCUGUAGGGCAGAGCAAAAGCAGCCUGAACUGUCCUGUGCCAAGAUGGAGGCUGGCAGGGAGAGCCUGGCCCUGUGGGGGUGGUGCUGGGUCUGGCUGUGAGAAUGAACGUAGCAGAUGAUCCUUGGUUCUGGGCAUUACAAGAUAUCAAGCAGCAGUAGUAUUAAGGAGCUAGUGGUCACAGUCCUGAACAUUCAACUAUGACUGUCCUGCCCAUAAUUUGUCCUCUCCAAGGUAAGGCAUUUCCUAUGUUUUAGAAAUGUUAUGGGGCUGUGUCCAGAGGGCAGAGAUUUUAAGUGUUAAGAGUCUCUGACCAGUUGGAUCUCAUGUAAAAAGCUCAGUCCUUUAAUGAUAUGUUGGGUAACACAGUAAUUUGUUCUUCUCAGAACUGAGGCAGUGUGUGGGAGGAGCGUGACCUCUGUGGAGGCUCAGGUACGCUUAGACACUUCAUUAAGGCAAGACCUGAGUGUGUGCCAGCUGAUCCCAGGCACCAAUCCCCCUCUGCACACUCUCAGGCUCUGAGAGGUGCCAUGUGGUACUUGGCUGGAACUGAUAAGAGUCAGGCAAUGUCACAGUUGCUCAACAGUUACCCUCAGCCAUCCUGCUGAGAUGAGACAAGCUAAGUGUUGGUGUCUACCCACUAGGUGUUGGACUCCUAACCACUAAAGCCAGGGGAGCUAGGUUCUAAGAGAGCUGGCACAGAUCCACUGAAAUGAGUAGAGCCACCAGAUGUGCUGGUAUCAAUCCAUAAUUUGUCUCAUCUCAGCUUUCCUUGAGUUUGACUAAAAUCACUGUUCCACAGAGGAAAUGACCCUGUUUUCCAGUCACUACAGUGAUGCAAUCUUUGGUUAUUGUUUUUUGCUGUUCCUUGGAGAGAGCAAUUUAGCCCUAUAUGUAUCUCACAGCAAUUGUGAACCAGAAAUUCCAUUUAAUCCAAUAGAAAACCCUAAGGCUGGGAAGAGGAUUGCGCUGUGAAAGGAUGUAACUAAGGCUUUAAUGGCAAAUACGCUAGAUAGAAGAGUGAUGGAGGAAAGCAAACUUGUGUUCAAAUUUCUGGCUUGUGUCAUUUAACACUGAGAAUUACUGAAGUUAUUUACUACCAGCGCAUUCUUAGCCAUGUGAAAUGUCUCACUACUGACAUCCUUGCCUUCUGAAAACAGGUAUUUAG
Molecule: long non-coding RNA, 2191 nt
Organism: Phasianus colchicus (ring-necked pheasant)
Lineage: Eukaryota; Metazoa; Chordata; Aves; Galliformes; Phasianidae
Source: Ensembl